ACCGGGAUUACCCUAGUAACGGCGAGUGAAGCGGUAAGAGCUCAAAUUUGAAAGCUGGCCCCUUCGGGGUCCGCAUUGUAAUUUGCAGAGGAUGCUUCGGGAGCGGUCCCCAUCUAAGUGCCCUGGAACGGGCCGUCAUAGAGGGUGAGAAUCCCGUAUGGGAUGGGGUGCCCGCGCCCGUGUGAAGCUCCUUCGACGAGUCGAGUUGUUUGGGAAUGCAGCUCUAAUUGGGUGGUAAAUUUCAUCUAAAGCUAAAUAUUGGCCGGAGACCGAUAGCGCACAAGUAGAGUGAUCGAAAGAUGAAAAGCACUUUGAAAAGAGAGUUAAACAGCACGUGAAAUUGUUGAAAGGGAAGCGCUUGCGAUCAGACUCGCUCGCGGGGUUCAGCCGGCCUUCGGGCCGGUGUACUUCCCCGCGGGCGGGCCAGCGUCGGUUUGGGCGGCCGGUCAAAGGCCCCUGGAAUGUAACGCCUCUCGGGGCGUCUUAUAGCCAGGGGUGCCAUGCGGCCUGCCCGGACCGAGGAACGCGCUUCGGCUCGGACGCUGGCAUAAUGGUCGUAAGCGACCCGUCUUGAAACACGGACCAAGGAGUCUAACAUCUACGCGAGUGUUCGGGUGUCAAACCCGUGCGCGCAGUGAAAGCGAACGGAGGUGGGAACCCCUCGGGGUGCACCAUCGACCGAUCCUGAUGUCUUCGGAUGGAUUUGAGUAAGAGCGUAGCUGUUGGGACCCGAAAGAUGGUGAACUAUGCCUGAAUAGGGCGAAGCCAGAGGAAACUCUGGUGGAGGCUCGCAGCGGUUCUGACGUGCAAAUCGAUCGUCAAAUUUGGGUAUAGGGGCGAAAGACUAAUCGA
Molecule: ribosomal RNA, 852 nt
Filed under: Penicillium neomanginii
Lineage: Eukaryota; Fungi; Ascomycota; Eurotiomycetes; Eurotiales; Aspergillaceae
Description: LSU rRNA
Rfam family: Eukaryotic large subunit ribosomal RNA
Source: RNAcentral